Molecule: long non-coding RNA, 1679 nt
Organism: Ailuropoda melanoleuca (giant panda)
Lineage: Eukaryota; Metazoa; Chordata; Mammalia; Carnivora; Ursidae
Source: Ensembl
GGCUCCUUGUCCGCUUGGGCUCCGAAACUGUGGCGCUCCGGAGGCCACCGAGGAUCGGGCUCGUGCGGGCCGAGCAACACGGGCGACCCCGCCGGAACCCGGAGUCCAGCGCGGCCGGCGCGCGGAACUUGCGGUCACGCCCCCCGCUGGAGGGGGCGUGGCCCUAGCCGGAAGUGCGUCACCCUCGCGUCGACCCUACGUGGCGCCGUUCUGAGGGGCUCCGCUUGGAGACGCGGCCCGUUGCCGUGGAGACGGAGGCUGCGGCCGGCAAAGGCGGGCCUCCGCGGCGCAGAGCUGAGGCCUCCUCGCCACGGAGUCCUUCUGACCGGAUUUGUUUUAAAAUCAGAGUGACGCCAGUAUGUGGCUUUGAUUCCCGCAGAACCGAAGCCUCGCAGUGAAGAGCAGCGGCCCCCUGCCGUUCACCCCCGCGGCAAGUUCUUUUCGGUGCUCGUAGCCCUCCACCGAUGGAAACCUCCGUGUCUACACCGAGCCGCUGGGCUUUGGGGUUUCCACUGCGGACAUGGUGGACCUGCCGCGCGGCCUGAGCACUGAGCUGUCCAGACAGCGCCGCAGAACCGGCCCCGGGUGGUCGCCGGCCCCCUAGCCCUCCGCCCUGGCUCCGGCUUUUUCUCCUGAGCUCACAGGCUCCUCGUGGUGUUCUCAUGCCUUGAUGUGAGAGGCAGCCGGCGACGGUUUUCUUCUGACGUUUUUGCCACACGCCUAUCGGUAACAUUGCCCGAAGGUUCAAACGCACUGGCUCUGUUUAAUUCCUGGAGCCCUCCGCCCCCGUUCGCCCCUCUGAACCCACCGCACCGCCCUGUCUCGAGCUGUCCUCAGCUGCCAUCCGGCGGCUCCUGCGCACGAGCUCUUCCCUGGAAUCGGCCAGCUCCGUCUCGGUUUACGCUCUCAUUUCGCUCAGGUCAGCCCUCGAGUAGCUUUCUGGAAAGGGGACCCUGUGAGCCAAUGGUGGAGUGGCCGCCGCUCAGCGGCAGGAGGAGUGAGCUGCAGGAACGUGCGGCAUGGAAAACUCUACGAAGCAUCGUGCCGAGGGGAAGACACAGACACAAAGGAGAAAGCACGUCCGUUUGUGAGCCUGGAACAGCAAGGCUGCAGUGACUGGAGGCACAGGAGCCAUGAGGAGAGGGACCACUAGGGGCUCAAGAUGACGUUGCAGGAGCCGGAAGUGUUUGUGUCUGGGUCAGGGGUGGCUGCACAGGUGUCCGCUUUUGUCAAAACUCAUCACAUUUUACUCUAAAAAUGGAUGCAUAUUAUUUUAUUUUUUAGAGAGAGAGUGCGCAUGCAUGCGCAGGGGUGGGAGUGGGGGAGGGGCAGGGGGAGAGAAUCUCAAAAGGACUCCCAGCUGAGCACAGAGCCGUAAGCAGGGCUCCCUCUCAUGACCCUGCGAUCAUGACCUGAGCUGAAAUCAAGAGUCAGAUGCUCAACCAACCUGAGCCACCCAGGCGCCCCAAUAAAAUGUGUGUUUUUUAAAAAGACAGUUAAACUAGAAUGAGAGCGUAUCAUGCUAAGCAAAAUAAGUCAGAGAAAAACAAAUAUGAUUUCACACAUAUGUGGAAUUUAAGAAAACAGAUGAACACAGAGGAAGGGAAGGGGAAAUAAGAGAGAAACAGAGAGGAAGACAAACCAUAAGAGACUCUUAACUAUAGAGAACAAACUGAAGG